This 517-nucleotide ribosomal RNA is filed under the name Coelichneumon phaenomenon. Its description in RNAcentral is "partial 16S large subunit ribosomal RNA". The stretch from base 377 to 517 matches the Rfam family "Archaeal large subunit ribosomal RNA", at positions 2544 to 2684 of the family's 2987-position model. The record is from RNAcentral. Lineage: Eukaryota; Metazoa; Arthropoda; Insecta; Hymenoptera; Ichneumonidae.
UCAAAAACAUGUCUUUUUGAAAAUAAUUUUAAGUYUAAUYUGCUCAAUGAAAUAUUUAAAUAGCUGCGGUAUAUUAACCGUACAAAGGUAGCAUAAUCAAUAGUUUUUUAAUUGAAAGCUGGAAUGAAAGAUUUGAUGAAAUAAAUAUUGUCUCAAAUUUAAUAAAAUUAAAAUUUUUUUUUUAGUAAAAAUACUAAAUUGAUUUUAAAAGACGAGAAGACCCUAUAGAUUUUUAUAAUUAAUAUUUUUUUAAUAAAAAUAAUUAAUUAUUAGAUUGGGGAAAUUAUUAAAUUAGAAAAAUUUUAAUUAUUUUAAACAAGAAUUAUUGAUUAUUUGAUCUUAAUUAUUAUGGAUUUUUAGAAUAAAAUACCUUAGGGAUAACAGCGUAAUUUUUUUAGAGAGAUCAUAUUAAUAAAAAAGUUUGCGACCUCGAUGUUGAAUUAAGAUAAAAUUUUAAUGAAGAAGUUAAAAAUUUUUAGUCUGUUCGACUAUUAAAAUCUUACGUGAUCUGAGUUCA